GAUGAACGCUGACGGCGUGCCUAAUACAUGCAAGUCGAGCGAACGGACGAGAAGCUUGCUUCUCUGAUGUUAGCGGCGGACGGGUGAGUAACACGUGGAUAACCUACCUAUAAGACUGGGAUAACUUCGGGAGACCGGAGCUAAUACCGGAUAAUAUUUUGAACCGCAUGGUUCAAAAGUGAAAGACGGUCUUGCUGUCACUUAUAGAUGGAUCCGCGCUGCAUUAGCUAGUUGGUAAGGUAACGGCUUACCAAGGCAACGAUGCAUAGCCGACCUGAGAGGGUGAUCGGCCACACUGGAACUGAGACACGGUCCAGACUCCUACGGGAGGCAGCAGUAGGGAAUCUUCCGCAAUGGGCGAAAGCCUGACGGAGCAACGCCGCGUGAGUGAUGAAGGUCUUCGGAUCGUAAAACUCUGUUAUUAGGGAAGAACAUAUGUGUAAGUAACUGUGCACAUCUUGACGGUACCUAAUCAGAAAGCCACGGCUAACUACGUG
This 497-nucleotide ribosomal RNA is filed under the name uncultured bacterium. RNAcentral's name for it is "partial 16S ribosomal RNA". It matches the Rfam family "Bacterial small subunit ribosomal RNA", at positions 28 to 507 of the family's 1533-position model. The record is from RNAcentral.